GCAUUGGUGGUUCAGUGGUAGAAUUCUCGCCUUCCAUGUGGGAGACCCAGGUUCGAUUCCUGGCCAGUGCA
RNAcentral lists this transfer RNA (71 nucleotides) under Trichechus manatus latirostris (Florida manatee). RNAcentral describes it as "tRNA-Gly (TCC) (tRNA-Gly-TCC-10-1)". It matches the Rfam family "tRNA". Rfam says of the family: Transfer RNA (tRNA) molecules are approximately 80 nucleotides in length. Lineage: Eukaryota; Metazoa; Chordata; Mammalia; Sirenia; Trichechidae. The record is from Rfam by way of RNAcentral.